GUGGGGAAUAUUAGACAAUGGGGGAAACCCUGAUCUAGCCAUGCCGCGUGAUCGAUGAAGGCCUUAGGGUUGUAAAGAUCUUUCAGGUGGGAAGAUAAUGACUGUACCACCAGAAGAAGCCCCGGCUAACUCCGUGCCAGCAGCCGCGGUAAUACGGAGGGGGCUAGCGUUGUUCGGAAUUACUGGGCGUAAAGCGCACGUAGGCGGAUUGGAAAGUUGGGGGUGAAAUCCCGGGGCUCAACCCCGGAACUGCCUUCAAAACUCCCAGUCUUGAGUUCGAGAGAGGUGAGUGGAAUUCCGAGUGUAGAGGUGAAAUUCGUAGAUAUUCGGAGGAACACCAGUGGCGAAGGCGGCUCACUGGCUCGAUACUGACGCUGAGGUGCGAAAGCGUGGGGAGCAAACAGGAUUAGAAACCCUAGUAGUCC
This 425-nucleotide ribosomal RNA is filed under the name uncultured bacterium. RNAcentral describes it as "partial 16S ribosomal RNA". It matches the Rfam family "Bacterial small subunit ribosomal RNA", at positions 354 to 796 of the family's 1533-position model. The record is from RNAcentral.